Molecule: ribosomal RNA, 773 nt
Filed under: uncultured Pseudomonas sp.
Lineage: Bacteria; Pseudomonadati; Pseudomonadota; Gammaproteobacteria; Pseudomonadales; Pseudomonadaceae
Description: bacterial SSU rRNA
Rfam family: Bacterial small subunit ribosomal RNA
Source: RNAcentral
GGGAGCUUGCUCCUGGAUUCAGCGGCGGACGGGUGAGUAAUGCCUAGGAAUCUGCCUGGUAGUGGGGGAUAACGUCCGGAAACGGGCGCUAAUACCGCAUACGUCCUGAGGGAGAAAGUGGGGGAUCCUCGGACCUCACGCUAUCAGAUGAGCCUAGGUCGGAUUAGCUAGUUGGUGGGGUAAAGGCCUACCAAGGCGACGAUCCGUAACUGGUCUGAGAGGAUGAUCAGUCACACUGGAACUGAGACACGGUCCAGACUCCUACGGGAGGCAGCAGUGGGGAACAUUGGACAAUGGGCGAAAGCCUGAUCCAGCCAUGCCGCGUGUGUGAAGAAGGUCUUCGGAUUGUAAAGCACUUUAAGUUGGGAGGAAGGGCAGUAAGUUAAUACCUUGCUGUUUUGACGUUACCAACAGAAUAAGCACCGGCUAACUUCGUGCCAGCAGCCGCGGUAAUACGAAGGGUGCAAGCGUUAAUCGGAAUUACUGGGCGUAAAGCGCGCGUAGGUGGUUCAGCAAGUUGGAUGUGAAAUCCCCGGGCUCAACCUGGGAACUGCAUCCAAAACUACUGAGCUAGAGUACGGUAGAGGGUGGUGGAAUUUCCUGUGUAGCGGUGAAAUGCGUAGAUAUAGGAAGGAACACCAGUGGCGAAGGCGACCACCUGGACUGAUACUGACACUGAGGUGCGAGAGCGUGGGGAGCAAACAGGAUUAGAUACCCUGGUAGUCCACGCCGUAAACGAUGUCGACUAGCCGUUGGGAUCCUUGAGAUCUUAG